Non-coding RNA from Poecilia reticulata (guppy), 582 nucleotides. Lineage: Eukaryota; Metazoa; Chordata; Actinopteri; Cyprinodontiformes; Poeciliidae. The record is from RefSeq and is a predicted model, not a curated record.
GUUCUGCAGUCAUUUGAUCCAAACCAAGCAGGAUCAUACCGGCGCUUUAAAUGCAAACUUUCAUUUUCUGAGGACUAAAAUAAAAUUUAAAAAAUGUUGAUUUACAAAAAUAAACGAAAUAAUGAACUUUUAUUUUGAGCACUGCGUUCUGCUUUGUAUGUGUUCAUAAUACCAGGAGGAACGUUGAUUCUGUAGACUGUGCGCCUCUAAAUUCAGAUUUCUCAUCAAUUGAAUCUUCCUCGGUCAGAAGGAAAAGGUCAACUACACUGGUGCAGCUUAGAAGGUUUGACAGAAUAAUAGCAGGAACAUGGGAGAUGAUGGUACAGAUGAUGAGGUGGAGAUGGGAACCAUGUGGUUGUGUUUGGUUUUGUAUGAAGAAACAAUAAAGGUGCAUAUUAAUAUCCAUGAGGGCAGGGGCGGAGCCAGAGGGGGGGCCAGUGCCCCCCUGUCAUCUGAUUGGCCCCCUGAUGAUUGACAUGUAACAGCACCAGUUGCUGCUGUGGUGAAACUCAAAGCCUAAAGCCCUUCAUACCUGGUGGUGAUGGUGAAACACCAAUAAGUUAUUUAUUGAUCCUCCACAAA